AUACAGAGGGUGCGAGCGUUAAUCGGAAUUACUGGGCGUAAAGCGCGCGUAGGCGGUCUAUUAAGUCAGAUGUGAAAUCCCAGGGCUCAACCUUGGAACUGCAUCUGAUACUGGUAGACUAGAGUUUUGGAGAGGGAAGUAGAAUUUCAGGUGUAGCGGUGAAAUGCAUAGGGAUCUGAAGGAAUACCAGUGGCGAAGGCGACUUCCUGGCCAAAAACUGACGCUGAGGUGCGAAAGCGUGGGUAGCAAACGGGAUUAGAUACCCUAGUAGUCC
RNAcentral lists this ribosomal RNA (274 nucleotides) under uncultured bacterium. RNAcentral's name for it is "partial 16S ribosomal RNA". It matches the Rfam family "Bacterial small subunit ribosomal RNA", at positions 523 to 796 of the family's 1533-position model. The record is from RNAcentral.